ACAGGGCUCUGACCUAUGAAUUGACAGCCAGUUCUCUCUGACCCCUCUGGCUGCCAAUUCCAUAGGUCACAGGUAUGU
Non-coding RNA from Ornithorhynchus anatinus (platypus), 78 nucleotides. Lineage: Eukaryota; Metazoa; Chordata; Mammalia; Monotremata; Ornithorhynchidae. The record is from Rfam.